This 380-nucleotide RNase P RNA is filed under the name Lentisphaerota bacterium. RNAcentral's name for it is "Lentisphaerae bacterium (feces metagenome) RNase P RNA component class A". It matches the Rfam family "Bacterial RNase P class A". Rfam says of the family: Ribonuclease P (RNase P) is a ubiquitous endoribonuclease, found in archaea, bacteria and eukarya as well as chloroplasts and mitochondria. Its best characterised activity is the generation of mature 5'-ends of tRNAs by cleaving the 5'-leader elements of precursor-tRNAs. The record is from RNAcentral. Lineage: Bacteria; Pseudomonadati; Lentisphaerota.
AGCAGUUGACAGGCAAUCGCUCCUGGAUGCGUUCAGGGGAGGAAAGUCCGGACUGCAUAGAGCAGGAAGUCCUUUUCAGCGCCUUGUUGCAAGACGGGUGUGAAAGAAGGAUACUGCGGACUAUAUGCCGCAGGAAGGAAAGUGCAACAGAAAGAAUACCGCCGGAUUUUCCGGUAAGGGUGAAAAGGUGGGGUAAGAGCCCACCGGGCGCACCGCGAAAGCCGCGCCGCACAGGCAAACCCCUUCCGCAGCAAGACCAAAUAGGGAACGAGUUGCUGCUCGCAGCGUUAAAAGUUCCGGGUUCUGGUCGCAUAGACAGAUGAUUGCCGCCGGAACAGAAAUGUUCCGGAACAGAAUCCGGCUUAUCUCAAGUGCUGCCU